This 322-nucleotide long non-coding RNA is filed under the name Manacus vitellinus (golden-collared manakin). Its description in RNAcentral is "lncRNA (ENSMVIG00005011638.1)". The record is from RNAcentral. Lineage: Eukaryota; Metazoa; Chordata; Aves; Passeriformes; Pipridae.
CCAAGUCAGGUGGCCAAGCACCCACGGGCUAUGCCGACGCUGCACAGCCUGUUCUGUUGGUGCCCAGGACAGGACGGUUGUGGGAGGCAGAGGUGGGUGAACCCUGUCCAGACCUGCUGUCCCUGGCAGUGUCCUGUGCACCUGGAGGUGCCUACCAGCCUGCCCUCACAGGGACCUGGAGAGGUGACCCACUCUUCGGGCAUCUUGAAAGGAGCAGGGAAUCCUCUCCCAUCCUGGAGAUUUAGCUGGAUGGAUGUGAAGCCUUAUCAGCCCAGAUCCAUGCAGGAGAUAGAGGGUGAUUUUCAGUCCCUUCAGUGGAUGG